GCCACGGUCGCAUAGCUCGGUAUUGCGCAGGAUUGCUAAUCCUGUGGGCCUAGCCCAUCGCUGGUUCAAAUCCGGCCCGUGGCG
This 84-nucleotide transfer RNA is filed under the name Candidatus Woesearchaeota archaeon. RNAcentral's name for it is "tRNA-Ser". It matches the Rfam family "tRNA". From Rfam's summary of the family: Transfer RNA (tRNA) molecules are approximately 80 nucleotides in length. Their secondary structure includes four short double-helical elements and three loops (D, anti-codon, and T loops). Lineage: Archaea; Nanobdellati; Candidatus Woesearchaeota. The record is from RNAcentral.